This 253-nucleotide unclassified non-coding RNA is filed under the name uncultured fungus. RNAcentral's name for it is "partial contains small subunit ribosomal RNA, internal transcribed spacer 1, and 5.8S ribosomal RNA". The stretch from base 1 to 73 matches the Rfam family "Eukaryotic small subunit ribosomal RNA", at positions 1759 to 1831 of the family's 1831-position model. Lineage: Eukaryota; Fungi. The record is from RNAcentral.
ACAAACUUGGUCAUUUAGAGGAAGUAAAAGUCGUAACAAGGUUUCCGUAGGUGAACCUGCGGAAGGAUCAUUAGAGAAUUGGAGGGAGACGCCCGUCGCCCUCGUCCGCUCACCCGUGCACCUUCGACGGGGCCCCUGCGCCCCGUCGCCAUCGCGCACCUCCGCACGUCUUUGCAAGUCGAUUUUUUUUAAAAAACGAGAAACAACUUUCGGCAACGGAUCUCUUGGCUCUCGCAUCGAUGAAGAACGCAGC